Molecule: long non-coding RNA, 254 nt
Organism: Pollicipes pollicipes
Lineage: Eukaryota; Metazoa; Arthropoda; Thecostraca; Pollicipedomorpha; Pollicipedidae
Exons: 3
Source: RefSeq, a predicted model, not a curated record
CCCUCCACCAGCCUGGGGGACGGUGCCGGCCGAACGCGGCAGUCGCUGGGCCCGGAUUCGGACGGGCUGAUGGGCCCCAAGCGUCGGUUGGACGGCGAUCCGGGACUGGCAUUCUCCAACAGCUCGUCAGACAUGCCGGAGGCGCGCUCGGACGUGCGGCUGAUCGUGGAGUGAACGGGCCGCCCGGGCCGGAGCGCUCUGCGGCGGCAAUGGGGCCGCUCUUACCGGCGGCCGUGCGGGGCGUCGCACCGUCC